This is a long non-coding RNA of Tachysurus fulvidraco (yellow catfish), 784 nucleotides long. RefSeq lists it as uncharacterized. The record is from RefSeq and is a predicted model, not a curated record. Lineage: Eukaryota; Metazoa; Chordata; Actinopteri; Siluriformes; Bagridae. The transcript has 4 exons.
UAAAAAGUGAGAAUUUUCCGAAAAUUUGGCUAUGACUUCGCGUCUUUGGAUUUUUCACAACGGAACAGAACAUCUACGAUCUUCUAAGCAUUGAGAGCACGGCCUUUUCAAUAGAACAAGGCCAGCCUAUCUGACGCAAUUGUCUGUGAAAACGUAUCAAACAAACGCGACCCUUCCAGGACAGUUGUAUUGAGAUUAUUUGCCGGCGACGAGUCUUCUACAACGCACGUGCUAGGCCUAAGAACGGGGGAACAUCCGGGGUCAAACAAUCGCGGCCCUUCCAGGACAGUUGUAUUGAGAUUAUUUCCCGCGACGAGCCUUCUACAACGCACGUGCUAGGCCUAAGAACGGGGAACAUCCGGGUCUAUCCAAAAGUCGAUAGCUGUAGUAACCCCACAGCUCAGACCAGUUUUACAAACUACGGGUAAGUUACACCAUGAAAAUAUGUAUGUUGUAAAUCUUUCAUUAACCUUAUAUGAUAUUUUAAGUAUUUAAUUAUCCAUUAUUUUGUAUGUGUGACAUGUUCAGAAGACACCGGAACAACGUAUGACUCCGAUAGUUCAGAUUUUUUUUGGGUAAGGUCGUUAGCAUUCUCUUUUCAAUCAACCCUUAAGAGUGUAAAACAAUCCUCCACACAUUUUUCUGUAAUCUGUAUUCUAUUUAGAUACCGUCAUUGAAGGAGUAAGAAACUACAAUCAACCCCCUUGAAGAAAAUUCCAACAUUGGAGACACUCUCUUCAGGAUUUUUUCAGCUAAGGGAUAGAAUAACUGAAAACUUUGAGCA